UGCAACAUAUGCACUAUUAUUCUUAACCUAUCGAAACUCAACAUUCAACCAAAAUAUGAUAAUUUGUUCAUGUUACACAACUUAAGACUAUUUCAUUAUGUAUAUAUCAUCUCACACAUAUCAACACAAUCAUACAAUUCAAUUCAAGGAUAUUAACAUACAUUUUUAAGUUACACGAACUUACCUUCGUAUUUGAAUUUCA
Molecule: long non-coding RNA, 202 nt
Filed under: Gossypium barbadense (sea-island cotton)
Lineage: Eukaryota; Viridiplantae; Streptophyta; Magnoliopsida; Malvales; Malvaceae
Description: long non-coding RNA (GBAR_LNC002407)
Source: RNAcentral